GGGGAUGUAGCUCAGUUGGUCAAGAGUGCCUGUCUGUCGAACAGGAAGUCGCGAGUAUCUCCUYCGGAGACGCUWCGCGAACRARUCUCGUCAUCCCCG
Molecule: non-coding RNA, 99 nt
Organism: Tolypothrix bouteillei VB521301
Lineage: Bacteria; Bacillati; Cyanobacteriota; Cyanophyceae; Nostocales; Tolypothrichaceae
Source: Rfam